This 253-nucleotide ribosomal RNA is filed under the name uncultured bacterium. RNAcentral's name for it is "partial 16S ribosomal RNA". It matches the Rfam family "Bacterial small subunit ribosomal RNA", at positions 524 to 776 of the family's 1533-position model. The record is from RNAcentral.
UACGGAGGAUCCGAGCGUUAUCCGGAUUUAUUGGGCUUAAAGGGUGCGUAGGCGGCCUGAUAAGUCAGGGGUGAAAGAUGGUAGCUCAACUAUCGCAGUGCCCUUGAUACUGAUGGGCUUGAAUGUACUAGAGGUAGGCGGAAUGUUACAAGUAGCGGUGAAAUGCAUAGAUAUGUCACAGAACACCAAUUGCGAAGGCAGCUUACUGUGGUAUGAUUGACGCUGAGGCACGAAAGCGUGGGGAGCAAACAGG